This is a long non-coding RNA of Pseudopipra pipra, 1176 nucleotides long. RefSeq lists it as uncharacterized. Lineage: Eukaryota; Metazoa; Chordata; Aves; Passeriformes; Pipridae. The transcript has 2 exons. The record is from RefSeq and is a predicted model, not a curated record.
GGCCUUGCGAGGGGAGGGCCUGCCCACUGGCACCCUGUCCGUCUGUCCAGGCAGCUGGCACAGCCGAAUGUGGCACCACGAGCUACGCGCUGAGCUAUUUUUAAGAGGCCUGGGCUGCAUCCCAAGUAUAGCGUGCUCUAUUUCUGGUGCAAAAUGAUCUUCCUGGGUGGAGGGCGCAGAGAUUUUUUUUUUUGUAUGAAACACAUGGGUUUGGAGACAGGGAGAGAAAGAAACAGCUGGGCACAACUGGAAGAGAGGCGCAAGAAAAAGCAGGAAGAGCUGGUGGCCAUGAAGGUCUCACCCGGAGGGAAAGAUCUGUGCUUGCUGCUGCUCUCAAAUGCUCGUUGCCAAUGGUUUGCUCAUGGAUCAGGAAUUGAAAAGAAACUGAUGUGCAGGGCCAUGGAUUGACUCCUCAUGGCUGUGGGUUUUGCCAGUGCAACAUCUGAAACUGGAGGUCUGAAGUGUUUCCUUCUUCCUGGGCUGGUGAUGACACAAAGGCUUCUGAGAAGAUAGAAAAGGAUGUAAAAGAGUUUUCUUUGAAGUUUAAGAAGAAUUUGCCAUUCUUAAUUUUUCAGCUGCCUUAUAAGGACCCUCUCUGCAACGGCAGUAGGCAUAAAAAGUACCACGAUGUGACACUAAUCGUGGUGUUAAUUCAAGUCCUGUUCUCUGAAACCUGCUGUUCUUUUACCUCUUCUUGCUUGUGCACCAGGAAGAGCUUUUCCUUGACCAUAAAUUCAAAGUGGAAAUAUUUGGCAUUUCCAAAAUCCAUCACGAGACUGACAGCUUUUUCUUUGUGAUGUUCUUUUGGAGGAAUAUUUAGGUUUUUUGAGACUGGAUGAAAUGUUUCUGACUUGUGUUCGCAUCUAGAGCUAGGCACUCAUGUCCAGAUGGGGUCCUUCAGGGGGAGAACUCUCUAAGAACUCUUUCUCAGGAAAGUCUCUAUUCCCAACAAACUGGGCUGUGCUGGGCUGUGCAGUGCUGCAGCUGGAUUUCUCUUGCAACCAGCUGGGGCACUUCUCUUUCAUGGGCAGGUUCUGCACAUGGUGCCACAGCAUUUUCAGCCUUUGAGACCUUGUUUGUUCCUUAUGCAACUGGGAGAAACAGAGAGGGAAGGAGUUGUGAGGUAAAGCUGCAGAGCUGUGCACUUUAUCUGGGUGAAUAAAGGGUGAAUAUUGA